AACGAACGCUGGCGGCAUGCCUAACACAUGCAAGUCGAACGAGACCUUCGGGUCUAGUGGCGCACGGGUGCGUAACGCGUGGGAACCUGCCCUUAGGUUCGGAAUAACUCCCCGAAAGGGGUGCUAAUACCGGAUAAUGUCUUCGGACCAAAGAUUUAUCGCCUUUGGAUGGGCCCGCGUUGGAUUAGCUAGUUGGUAGGGUAAAAGCCUACCAAGGCGGCGAUCCAUAGCUGGUCUGAGAGGAUGAUCAGCCACACUGGGACUGAGACACGGCCCAGACUCCUACGGGAGGCAGCAGUGGGGAAUAUUGGACAAUGGGCGAAAGCCUGAUCCAGCAAUGCCGCGUGAGUGAUGAAGGCCUUAGGGUUGUAAAGCUCUUUUACCCGGGAUGAUAAUGACAGUACCGGGAGAAUAAGCUCCGGCUAGCUCCGUG
This 433-nucleotide ribosomal RNA is filed under the name uncultured bacterium. RNAcentral describes it as "partial 16S ribosomal RNA". It matches the Rfam family "Bacterial small subunit ribosomal RNA", at positions 29 to 507 of the family's 1533-position model. The record is from RNAcentral.